RNAcentral lists this ribosomal RNA (500 nucleotides) under uncultured bacterium. RNAcentral describes it as "partial 16S ribosomal RNA". It matches the Rfam family "Bacterial small subunit ribosomal RNA", at positions 30 to 523 of the family's 1533-position model. The record is from RNAcentral.
AUUGAACGCUGGCGGAAUGCUUUACACAUGCAAGUCGAACGGCAGCACGGACUUCGGUCUGGUGGCGAGUGGCGAACGGGUGAGUAAUGUAUCGGAACGUGCCCAGUCGUGGGGGAUAACGUAGUGAAAAUUACGCUAAUACCGCAUACGAUCUAUGGAUGAAAGCGGGGGAUCGCAAGACCUCGCGCGAUUGGAGCGGCCGAUAUCAGAUUAGGUAGUUGGUGGGGUAAAGGCCCACCAAGCCAACGAUCUGUAGCUGGUCUGAGAGGACGACCAGCCACACUGGAACUGAGACACGGUCCAGACUCCUACGGGAGUCAGCAGUGGGGAAUUUUGGACAAUGGGCGAAAGCCUGGUCCAGCCAUUCCGCGUGCAGGAUGAAGGCCCUCGGGUUGUAAACUGCUUUUGUACAGAACGAAAAGGUUUCUACUAAUACUAGGAGCUCAUGACGGUACUGUAAGAAUAAGCACCGGCUAACUACGUGCCAGCCGCCGCGGUAA